AUUGAACGCUGGCGGCAUGCCUUACACAUGCAAGUCGAACGGCAGCACGGGUUCUUGCCCCUGGUGGCGAGUGGCGAACGGGUGAGUAAUACAUCGGAACAUGUCCUGUAGUGGGGGAUAGCCCGGCGAAAGCCGGAUUAAUACCGCAUACGAUCUACGGAUGAAAGCGGGGGACCUUCGGGCCUCGCGCUGUAGGGUUGGCCGAUGGCUGAUUAGCUAGUUGGUGGGGUAAAGGCCUACCAAGGCGACGAUCAGUAGCUGGUCUGAGAGGACGACCAGCCACACUGGGACUGAGGCACGGCCCAGACUCCGACGGGAGGCAGCAGUGGGGAAUUUUGGACAAUGGGCGAAAGCCUGAUCCAGCAAUGCCGCGUGUGUGAAGAAGGCCUUCGGGUUGUAAAGCACUUUUGUCCGGAAAGAAAUCCUUGGCCCUAAUACGGUCGGGGGAUGACGGUACCGGAAGAAUAAGCACCGGCUAACUACGUG
RNAcentral lists this ribosomal RNA (486 nucleotides) under uncultured bacterium. Its description in RNAcentral is "partial 16S ribosomal RNA". It matches the Rfam family "Bacterial small subunit ribosomal RNA", at positions 30 to 507 of the family's 1533-position model. The record is from RNAcentral.